CAGAGAAACAAUUACACUACUGAAGGUGAUCAAAAGGAAGCAAGCCCAGCCAGAGCUGCUGCAGGUAAACUGCCAGAGGGACCAGACCUGGAAACCAGCCAGUGACACAGAUAUGCUACAGAGCAUCUGGAGGAAGGACCCUGGAGAGAGUCCAGCGGAGAAUGUAUAUUAUUGAACACCAGAAAUUCCUGAAAACACCACAGAGAAGAAUUCAGAAAGAUUAUCCCAUGACUCCUGAAAGCGAAGGCACCCAUGUACAUAUCCUGUCAUCACAUACAUCUCGGGGAACCCCGAAAUCAAAGUGCUGUCUCCAGUGAAGGUGCCUUUUUCUGUCCCCAUCUUUAAUAGGCAGCAAUCUUUAUUUCCCUGGAGGGAAAUGGCAAUGAAUUCGAAAUGGGAUCAAUCUUGAAGAAUGCAAGGUGCUGAGACUGUAGAUCACUGCUGGUUAGUUAAUUAGUUUAGCCCUCGCUCAUUUCAUCUCAAAGACAGAACACCUUGUAACAAGGGGGAAGGAGAGUGACAUGCAAAUAAGCAAUGACACCACUUAACAAAACAGUUUGUGUGUGUUGCUGGGGUUUUGUUUGUGUUUGCCUGUUUGUUUGGUUUUUUUAAUGUGCUCUGGAGAUUUGAUUUCUAUUUGAUACAAUCAAUAAAAUAAGCAGCAUGCAGUUUACUUGGGCCAUUCUGGCUUUUAAGGAUUAUUCAAUUUACUGAAAGGGAUUACAUCUUUAUCCAGUGGAAACCGCUAAAAGAGAUACGGGCAGGAGACUAGAGAAGAAGAUGUUUAUAGACUAGCAUGAAUGUGAUUGGAGUUGGCAUACAGAGAUAUAUUUACUGAGACAGUGAAUCCUGCAUCCUAUGAGACGUAAAACAAACAUACUCUUCACACACAGAUGUUAGAGAUACCUUUGAACAGCCAAAAACAGUUUGAGUUUUUAAUUACUGAGGUUUAUUGAGGAGAGGAAUGACAAAAUUGCAAAAAUUGGUGGCAAUGAAAAGAUAAAUCUUAUACUUAAUGAUCAGGGUUUGAAAGUCUAAUAAGCCGCUUGGCUGAGUUUUAUUUUCUUUGCUAAAUUGGUGAGGAAGAGAUGGCUCUAAGGAUUUGAAGUCACUGAAGUUUCAUCCAUGUAAAUGAAGGCAGAAUUGUGCAUAGAUUCGAUUUCUAAAUUCCCUUGAAAUUUUGCUUUAUAGGGCAUUCUGAUUUUUUUUAAAGCAAUAAAAGAGAGAAAACGUAAAGAGAUUAACUAA
Non-coding RNA from Pelodiscus sinensis (Chinese soft-shelled turtle), 1248 nucleotides. The record is from RefSeq and is a predicted model, not a curated record. NCBI's taxonomy places the organism in Eukaryota, Metazoa, Chordata, Testudines, Trionychidae.